Molecule: ribosomal RNA, 452 nt
Filed under: Paenibacillus pabuli
Lineage: Bacteria; Bacillati; Bacillota; Bacilli; Caryophanales; Paenibacillaceae
Description: bacterial SSU rRNA
Source: RNAcentral
CCUACGGGWGGCWGCAGUAGGGAAUCUUCCGCAAUGGGCGAAAGCCUGACGGAGCAAUGCCGCGUGAGUGAUGAAGGUUUUCGGAUCGUAAAGCUCUGUUGCCAGGGAAGAACGCUUGGGAGAGUAACUGCUCUCAAGGUGACGGUACCUGAGAAGAAAGCCCCGGCUAACUACGUGCCAGCAGCCGCGGUAAUACGUAGGGGGCAAGCGUUGUCCGGAAUUAUUGGGCGUAAAGCGCGCGCAGGCGGUCAUUUAAGUCUGGUGUUUAAUCCCGGGGCUCAACCCCGGAUCGCACUGGAAACUGGGUGACUUGAGUGCAGAAGAGGAGAGUGGAAUUCCACGUGUAGCGGUGAAAUGCGUAGAUAUGUGGAGGAACACCAGUGGCGAAGGCGACUCUCUGGGCUGUAACUGACGCUGAGGCGCGAAAGCGUGGGGAGCAAACAGGAUUAGAU